AAUAAACCAAUUUUUCACUUUUUACCUACAAUUUUUAACUCUUCGUCUUAUUCAAUUUUUUUUUACGAUUGAUAUUUUUGUUUUUAUUAGAUGAUAAAUCAUGAAUAGUAGACUAAUUUUUUUCUAAUUUUCUAAAAAAAUUUUAAAUAAGAUGGAUGGUCAAACAUUGGACAUGGAAACCGGAGAAUUGAUU
Molecule: microRNA precursor, 193 nt
Filed under: Oryza brachyantha (malo sina)
Lineage: Eukaryota; Viridiplantae; Streptophyta; Magnoliopsida; Poales; Poaceae
Description: MIR812 microRNA precursor family
Rfam family: MIR812 microRNA precursor family
Source: Rfam by way of RNAcentral